RNAcentral lists this unclassified non-coding RNA (203 nucleotides) under Hevea brasiliensis (rubber tree). Lineage: Eukaryota; Viridiplantae; Streptophyta; Magnoliopsida; Malpighiales; Euphorbiaceae. The record is from RNAcentral.
CGGCAGACAUAUGGAGUGCUGAAGACUUUAGCCACAGAAUUGUUAAGAGAAUAAAAUUGAAAUUUGAUAUAAUUCGAGUCUGGCAACAGGUGUUGGCAGAGAUUUUCACAAAAAUUCAACCAUGGUGUAGAACAAGGAGGGAAGAUGAGAUGCUACUAGUCUAAGCAAAAAAGAAUACCAUGAUUUUCUGAAACAUUUGAUUG